AGUGAACGCUGGCGGUAGGCCUAACACAUGCAAGUCGAACGGCAGCACAGUAAGAGCUUGCUCUUACGGGUGGCGAGUGGCGGACGGGUGAGGAAUACAUCGGAAUCUACUUUUUCGUGGGGGAUAACGUAGGGAAACUUACGCUAAUACCGCAUACGACCUACGGGUGAAAGCAGGGGAUCUUCGGACCUUGCGCGAUUGAAUGAGCCGAUGUCGGAUUAGCUAGUUGGCGGGGUAAAGGCCCACCAAGGCGACGAUCCGUAGCUGGUCUGAGAGGAUGAUCAGCCACACUGGAACUGAGACACGGUCCAGACUCCUACGGGAGGCAGCAGUGGGGAAUAUUGGACAAUGGGCGCAGGCCUGAUCCAGCCACACCGCGUGGGUGAAGAAGGCCUUCGGGUUGUAAAGCCCUUUUGUUGGGAAAGAAAAGCAGCAGGUUAAUACCCCGCUGUUCUGACGGUACCCAAAGAAUAAGCACCGGCUAACUUCGUG
Molecule: ribosomal RNA, 492 nt
Filed under: uncultured bacterium
Lineage: Bacteria
Description: partial 16S ribosomal RNA
Rfam family: Bacterial small subunit ribosomal RNA
Source: RNAcentral